This 2866-nucleotide long non-coding RNA is filed under the name Homo sapiens (human). RNAcentral's name for it is "HSALNT0326143". Lineage: Eukaryota; Metazoa; Chordata; Mammalia; Primates; Hominidae. The record is from RNAcentral.
GGGUGCUCCAAGGAGUCGGAGGAACGCGGCCGCGCGACGGGCCCCGGACGCCGAGGGUGGUGCUUCCUCCGAGCCUCCGGUGGUGAGGCCGCUCUCAGAAGGUCAUGGAAGCGCAGGGGAGAGCGAGGCGGCCGAGCCCAGGCAAAUCCUCGAGAAAGGCCGAGUGCGCGACGGCUCUGCGGGGAGGACCGCGCCUCCCCGAAUGCGGCCGCUGCUGCCGCUGCAAACAGUGCCUUGAGGAGAGGAAAGCGGGGAACCGUGUUUUCGCCGCCUCUGUAACCACUGCACACAAGAAAACCAGCUUCUGGGAGAGGGGGAUGAUUGUUGGGACUUUGCGAAUUACCUAAACAGCCCAGGGCCGAGGCGCCGCCGCUCGCGUCCUGGUCCUCCUGCCGGGUGUGGGGCUCCCCUGCCCGAGAUGGCCAGCGGGCGCGCCGAGAGUAUCCUGGAGCCAUCUAGUCUUGCCUCGGAGGCGGGGUGGGCUUAUUUGUGCGGAGAAGAAACGGAUCUCUUAAUGGGGUGAGAUUUUUCCUCCGUACAUUGUUCCCAUUUCCGCAGUUUCACUUGGCCUCGGUUUUCUAGCAGAGUAAUCACCAAAUGAAAUUAGCUGGAGAGCGUUUGAUGGCGCAGAAUCACGGUCUGAAGAUGUUUACGCUGUAUGCCGGACGCGUUUGAUGGUGUUCUCUUCGGCACAAUUAAUUUUGCAAAGUUCAGAAAUGUGCCAGACAGAGCCCCUGGCACGCAGUCAGGACUCUACAGACACACCUUGAGUAGGAAACAGGCUUGUUUGUUUCAUCUGUGAUUUAUGUGAUGCACCAGCACCAAGGCCAACGUGUUUUUUAAAGACCUUUCGAUGAAACUCCAAAGCAAUUUAUAAAUUGGCAAAAUGAAGCUUGUUUUGUAAAAUAACUCUUCCUUGUUGAUCAUGUAAUUAAAUGGGCAACAAAACACCUGAAAGGACAUUUACUGAAAAGUAGACUCCCAAAACAAAAAUAUGUAUUUCACAGCUAGAUACGGUCGCUAUUAGCGUCCUAAUGGCCAACUCCAUCCAUGUGCGUAUUUUGAACACUAAAAACGCCUCCUGUUACCCCUAAGACCUUGUUUGGAUAACAUUUUUCUAUUAUAAGUACUCGAAACCAACCCCAUUUAAGAUGUUUACCCUUAUUCUUGAGUCCUUGAUGGUUUGGGAAAUUUAUCAUUAUUCAUAUUGCACAAUCCUGUCACUGUCUUUUCCAUUAGGCACAGUGCCUAAGGUCCACAAUAUUUUUAGAGGCCCACAAAAAAUAUUUUAAUUUCUUUUCAAAUCAGAAGGAAAAAAAAUUUAGGUUUAAGAAAGUAUUUUAAUAUAUAUUAAUAUAUUUGUUUUUGUGCUAAUACAAUCUUAAAAUGUAUGUAUAUAUGUGUGUGUGUAUAUGUAUAUAUAUUUUAAUGGAGUAAGGGGCUCAACGAAGGCAAAAAGGCCUAGAGCCCAAGAAAAACAUGAUGUGGCCCUGUUGCCUGGGGUUGAAAAAUCCCAUUCCAUGAGAAGAAUUUAGUUUUAAGAAUAUUACAUAAAAUGCUCAUUUCUGUGGCCUUGCUAUAAUAGAAAGAUGGAGAUUCAGAGUAGUGAUAAUGGCUAACAUCCACCUGAUACACACCAUGUGUCCAUUACCUCUUAAUCCUCACAGCACACCUGUGAAAUAGGUACUAUUCUCACACUUAGGGGGUAAUGCAGGUUUUGUGGGGCCUGCAAUUUAUGCAAUUUGGGUGGUCCUCUUAAAGAAAAAGCAAAUACUGUGUAUUAGUCCGUUCUCACACUGCUAUAAAGAACUGCGCGAGACUGGGUAAUUUAUAAAGGAAAGAGGUUUAAUUGACUCACAGUUCCACAUGGCUGGGGAGACCUCAGGAAACUUAACAAUCGUGGUGGAAGGAGAAGCAAGUACCUUCUUCACAAGGAAGCGGAAAGAAUUGUGAGCGGAGGAACUUGCCAAACACAAAACCGUCAGAUCGCGUGAGAAUUCAGUUACUAUCACGAGAACAACACGGGAAAACUGUCCCCAUAAUCAAGUCAUUUCUCUCCCUAACAAGUGAGGAUUACAAUUCAAGAUGAGGUUUGGGUAGGAACACAAAGCCUGACCCUAUCCCACAGCAUGUCCAGGCUGCCCUAGCACCACCCAAUAGAAGGGAAAAUGGCAGAGGGAAAGUCCUAGUGGAAAGAGACCUCAGUCUCAGCUAAUUGUGGUGACAAUAUAUUGCUUUUGCAAAUUGUACAUAAACAUAUGACCAGGUGAAUGUAUCGCCAAGGCUCCUGCCAAGGCCUGGGAUGGAGGCCUAGAGAAGAUGCCCGAAAGUUUAUGCUGUGUGAGCUUCACAGAAGACCUGCCUUCCAUGUAUACCCAUUUUACAGACGGAGUUUCGCUCUUGUUGCCCAGGCUGGAGUACAAUGGCGCAGUCUCGGCUCACUGCAGCCCCCACCUCCCGGGUUCAAGUGAUUCUCCUGCCUCAGCCUCCCAAGUAGCUGGGACUUCAGGCAUGCACUGCCAUGCCUGGCUAAUUUUGUAUUUUUAGUAGAGACAGGGUUUCUCCAUGUUAGGCUGGUCUCGAACUCCAGACCUCAGGUGAUCCCCCACACCUCGGCAUCCCAAAGUGCUGGGAUUACAGGCGUGAGCCACUGCUCCCAGCCCCAUUGUUGAUUUUUAAAACUUAGUGUUCAACAAAUAUUUAUUGAGUACUUAAUACAUAUGCAUGCUAAGGAAACAACAGUGAGUGAGACAAAGCCCUUUGUCUUAUGAAGACUCUGAUGAAGCUUACGUAUUAAGACUCUCAAAACAUGGUCAGAAUGUCCUUGAUUAGCCUGAGUUGCCAAAAAAGAAAAGAAAAAAAGAAA